UAUCUCCAAGGAUUGUUUUUCUCGCAAAAUUUUUCCUGCGAGGAACGGAAUGGAAUCAGGCUGCCUGCAUGGCAGUUGAUAAUCAUUAUUAAAAAGGAAUCG
Molecule: non-coding RNA, 102 nt
Organism: Vibrio sp.
Lineage: Bacteria; Pseudomonadati; Pseudomonadota; Gammaproteobacteria; Vibrionales; Vibrionaceae
Source: Rfam